This 85-nucleotide transfer RNA is filed under the name Duodenibacillus sp. RNAcentral describes it as "tRNA-Leu". It matches the Rfam family "tRNA". From Rfam's summary of the family: Transfer RNA (tRNA) molecules are approximately 80 nucleotides in length. Their secondary structure includes four short double-helical elements and three loops (D, anti-codon, and T loops). RNAcentral also lists the same sequence under 7 other names. Lineage: Bacteria; Pseudomonadati; Pseudomonadota; Betaproteobacteria; Burkholderiales; Sutterellaceae. The record is from RNAcentral.
GCGGUCGUGGCGAAAUUGGUAGACGCGCAGCCUUGAGGUGGCUGUGGCGAGAGUCAUGAGAGUUCGAGUCUCUCCGACCGCACCA